UUUAAUUAAAAAUAUUACUAUUUAUUGCAUACCUACUAUGUGUAAUGAGCUUCCUACUCAUUAUUCACAAUAUAACAUAGCACAUCAUUCCACAAGAUCAAUUUUACCUGAUCUUAUAUAACAUAAUAUUUUCAUAAACUUUACAAAAAAAAAAAAAAAACACUACAAAUUUCUCAUAUGCUAGUAAAUUGGGGGCUGGAUUUUUUGACUUUCAUAAGUUUGAUUCCUUCCUUAGUUAGAA
Molecule: long non-coding RNA, 241 nt
Filed under: Bos taurus (domestic cattle)
Lineage: Eukaryota; Metazoa; Chordata; Mammalia; Artiodactyla; Bovidae
Description: long non-coding RNA NONBTAT023625
Source: RNAcentral